GGGCUUGUAGCUCAGUUGGUUAGAGCGUCACAUUGACAUUGUGAAGGUCAGAGGUUCGAAUCCUCUCAGGCCCA
Molecule: transfer RNA, 74 nt
Filed under: Candidatus Magasanikiibacteriota bacterium
Lineage: Bacteria; Candidatus Magasanikiibacteriota
Description: tRNA-Val
Rfam family: tRNA
About the family: Transfer RNA (tRNA) molecules are approximately 80 nucleotides in length. Their secondary structure includes four short double-helical elements and three loops (D, anti-codon, and T loops).
Source: RNAcentral